GGGAACACAGGAUGGCCGGGCAGUGAUAGUUGUACAUUUCCAUCACUCGUUGUGUUGAUUUCAUCAUGUCCAUUAGGUGAUGUUUUUACACUAUAGAAUCAUAUUGCAAGUGCGCGCGCAUUUGCAAUAUGUUUCAAUGUGCAUUUACCAUAUGAAAUUUGACAUGCUCAAAAAUGCAAAAUUGACUGGUCUGAUGGACACAGGAUGGCCGAGCAGUGAUAGUUGUACAUUUCCAUCACUCGUUGUGUUGAUUUCAUCAUGUCCAUUAGGUGAUGUUUUUUCACUAUAGAAUCAUAUUGCAAAUGCACGUGCAUUGUUGUGCAACUGGUAACCCAAAAAUAAAAAUAUGGUUGUAAAUGCAUUUACCGGUCAUUCUGAUAUUAAUGCUCGCUAUGGGAACACAGGAUGGCCGGGCAGUGAUAGUUGUACAUUUCCAUCACUCGUUGUGUUGAUUUCAUCAUGUCCAUUAGGUGAUGUUUUUACACUAUAGAAUCAUAUUGCAAGUGCGCGCGCAUUUGCAAUAUGUUUCAAUGUGCAUUUACCAUAUGAAAUUUGACAUGCUCAAAAAUGCAAAAUUGACUGGUCUGAUGGACACAGGAUGGCCGAGCAGUGAUAGUUGUACAUUUCCAUCACUCGUUGUGUUGAUUUCAUCAUGUCCAUUAGGUGAUGUUUUUUCACUAUAGAAUCAUAUUGCAAAUGCACGUGCAUUGUUGUGCAACUGGUAACCCAAAAAUAAAAAUAUGGUUGUAAAUGCAUUUACCGGUCAUUCUGAUAUUAAUGCUCGCUAUGGGAACACAGGAUGGCCGGGCAGUGAUAGUUGUACAUUUCCAUCACUCGUUGUGUUGAUUUCAUCAUGUCCAUUAGGUGAUGUUUUUACACUAUAGAAUCAUAUUGCAAGUGCGCGCGCAUUUGCAAUAUGUUUCAAUGUGCAUUUACCAUAUGAAAUUUGACAUGCUCAAAAAUGCAAAAUUGACUGGUCUGAUGGACACAGGAUGGCCGAGCAGUGAUAGUUGUACAUUUCCAUCACUCGUUGUGUUGAUUUCAUCAUGUCCAUUAGGUGAUGUUUUUACACUAUAGAAUCAUAUUGCAAGUGCGCGCGCAUUUGCAAUAUGUUUCAAUGUGCAUUUACCAUAUGAAAUUUGACAUGCUCAAAAAUGCAAAAUUGACUGGUCUGAUGGACACAGGAUGGCCGAGCAGUGAUAGUUGUACAUUUCCAUCACUCGUUGUGUUGAUUUCAUCAUGUCCAUUAGGUGAUGUUUUUUCACUAUAGAAUCAUAUUGCAAAUGCACGUGCAUUGUUGUGCAACUGGUAACCCAAAAAUAAAAAUAUGGUUGUAAAUGCAUUUACCGGUCAUUCUGAUAUUAAUGCUCGCUAUGGGAACACAGGAUGGCCGGGCAGUGAUAGUUGUACAUUUCCAUCACUCGUUGUGUUGAUUUCAUCAUGUCCAUUAGGUGAUGUUUUUACACUAUAGAAUCAUAUUGCAAGUGCGCGCGCAUUUGCAAUAUGUUUCAAUGUGCAUUUACCAUAUGAAAUUUGACAUGCUCAAAAAUGCAAAAUUGACUGGUCUGAUGGACACAGGAUGGCCGAGCAGUGAUAGUUGUACAUUUCCAUCACUCGUUGUGUUGAUUUCAUCAUGUCCAUUAGGUGAUGUUUUUUCACUAUAGAAUCAUAUUGCAAAUGCACGUGCAUUGUUGUGCAACUGGUAACCCAAAAAUAAAAAUAUGGUUGUAAAUGCA
Long non-coding RNA from Oncorhynchus keta (chum salmon), 1736 nucleotides. RefSeq lists it as uncharacterized. Lineage: Eukaryota; Metazoa; Chordata; Actinopteri; Salmoniformes; Salmonidae. The transcript has 4 exons. The record is from RefSeq and is a predicted model, not a curated record.